GGGAGUGACUUGGCUUCGACAGGAGCAGGUUUGGCUUGAUUGCAUGCCGCUUUGAACAGAGCGCAAAAAGUUCAUUAAAUUUAGACGCAAAUAACAAAAAUUUCGCUCCCGCUUACGCUAAAAUCGCGUAAGUUUUAUCCUUAAAGGGAGGCUUUGCACCGUGGAUGCUAUCUAAACGGAUUUCGCAAGGCUCAAAAAAUAGAUAGCUUGAUUUGGCACGCGGCUGACGCCAAAUUGAAAUUUAAGCCUGCGUUUUUGCGUAGUUUUCGCGGAUUGAGUGAAGCAAAAGCAAAGAUUAAAUCAAUCCUUCUAAGCAUGUAGAUAUCAAAUCGGGGCUGUUUUUGGACAGGGGUUCAAUUCCCCUCACUUCCACCA
RNAcentral lists this transfer-messenger RNA (375 nucleotides) under Campylobacteraceae bacterium. It matches the Rfam family "transfer-messenger RNA". From Rfam's summary of the family: Bacterial tmRNA, also known as 10Sa RNA or SsrA, is named for its dual tRNA and mRNA-like properties. Its role is to liberate the mRNA from a stalled ribosome. The record is from RNAcentral. Lineage: Bacteria; Pseudomonadati; Campylobacterota; Epsilonproteobacteria; Campylobacterales; Campylobacteraceae.